Small nucleolar RNA from Tuber melanosporum (Perigord truffle), 89 nucleotides. It matches the Rfam family "A. fumigatus snoRNA Afu_300". Lineage: Eukaryota; Fungi; Ascomycota; Pezizomycetes; Pezizales; Tuberaceae. The record is from Rfam.
AAAGAUGAUCAAUUUGUCGUAUUACAUACGCUGGAAAUUACCGUCCAAGUACUUCGUGCGGUGCAGACACAAAAUGGCUGUUUCUGAGC